GAUGAACGCUGGCGGCGUGCCUAAUACAUGCAAGUCGAGCGAACGGACGAGAAGCUUGCUUCUCUGAUGUUAGCGGCGGACGGGUGAGUAACACGUGGAUAACCCACCUAUAAGACUGGGAUAACUUCGGGAAACCGGAGCUAAUACCGGAUGAUAUUUUGAACCGCAUGGUUCAAAAGUGAAAGACGGUCUUGCUGUCACUUAUAGAUGGAUCCGCGCUGCAUUAGCUAGUUGGUAAGGUAACGGCUUACCAAGGCAACGAUGCAUAGCCGACCUGAGGGUGAUCGGCCACACUGGAACUGAGACACGGUCCAGACUCCUACGGGAGGCAGCAGUAGGGAAUCUUCCGCAAUGGGCGAAAGCCUGACGGAGCAACGCCGCGUGAGUGAUGAAGGUCUUCGGAUCGUAAAACUCUGUUAUUAGGGAAGAACAUAUGUGUAAGUAACUGUGCACAUCUUGACGGUACCUAAUCAGAAAGCCACGGCUAACUACGUG
This 495-nucleotide ribosomal RNA is filed under the name uncultured bacterium. RNAcentral describes it as "partial 16S ribosomal RNA". It matches the Rfam family "Bacterial small subunit ribosomal RNA", at positions 28 to 507 of the family's 1533-position model. The record is from RNAcentral.